GGUGAACGCUGGCGGUGUGCCUAAGACAUGCAAGUCGAACGGCAGCACGGGUGCUUGCACCUGGUGGCGAGUGGCGAACGGGUGAGUAAUACAUCGGAACGUACCUUAUCGUGGGGGAUAACGCAGCGAAAGUUGCGCUAAUACCGCAUACGCCCUGAGGGGGAAAGCGGGGGACCGUAAGGCCUCGCGCGAUUAGAGCGGCCGAUGUCUGAUUAGCUUGUUGGUGAGGUAAAAGCUCACCAAGGCGAUGAUCAGUAGCUGGACUGAGAGGACGGUCAGCCACACUGGGACUGAGACACGGCCCAGACUCCUACGGGAGGCAGCAGUGGGGAAUUUUGGACAAUGGGGGCAACCCUGAUCCAGCAAUGCCGCGUGAGUGAAGAAGGCCUUCGGGUUGUAAAGCUCUUUUGUCAGGGAAGAAACAGCAGCUCUAACACAGUCUGCGAAUGACGGUACCUGAAGAAUAAGCACCGGCUAACUACGUGCCAGCAGCCGCCGUAA
Molecule: ribosomal RNA, 501 nt
Filed under: uncultured bacterium
Lineage: Bacteria
Description: partial 16S ribosomal RNA
Rfam family: Bacterial small subunit ribosomal RNA
Source: RNAcentral